GGUAGGACCUACCGCUGAACUUAAGCAUAUCAAUAAGCGAGGAAAAGAAACUAACAAGGAUUCCCCUAGUAACUGCGAGUGAAGCGGGAAAAGCUCAAAUUUAAAAUCUGGUAGUCUUUGGCUGCCCGAGUUGUAAUCUAGAGAAGCAUUAUCCGCGCUGGACCGUGUACAAGUCUCCUGGAACGGAGCGUCAUAGAGGGUGAGAAUCCCGUCUUUGACACGGACUACCAGGGCUUUGUGAUGUGCUCUCAAAGAGUCGAGUUGUUUGGGAAUGCAGCUCUAAAUGGGUGGUAAAUUCCAUCUAAAGCUAAAUAUUGGCGAGAGACCGAUAGCGAACAAGUACCGUGAGGGAAAGAUGAAAAGAACUUUGGAAAGAGAGUUAAACAGUACGUGAAAUUGUUGAAAGGGAAACGCUUGAAGUCAGUCGCGUUUGCCGGGGAUCAACCUUGCUUCUUGCUUGGCUUACUUCCUGGUAGACGGGUCAGCAUCAAUUUUGACCGGUGGAUAAAGGCUAGGGGAAUGUGGCAUCUUCGGGUGUGUUAUAGCCCUUGGUCGCAUACAUCGGUUGGGAUUGAGGAACUCAGCACGCCGCAAGGCCGGGUCUUUUGACCACGUUCGUGCUUAGGAUGCUGGCAUAAUGGCUUUAAUCGACCCGUCUUGAAACACGGACCAAGGAGUCUAACAUGCCCGCGAGUGUUUGGGUGGAAAACCCGAGCGCGUAAUGAAAGUGAAAGUUGAGAUCCCUGUCGUGGGGAGCAUCGACGCCCGGACCAGACCUUUUGUGACGGUCCCGCGGUAGAGCGUGUAUGUUGGGACCCGAAAGAUGGUGAACUAUGCCUGAAUAGGGUGAAGCCAGAGGAAACCUUGGUGGAGGCUCGUAGCGAUUCUGACGUGCAAAUCGAUCGUCGAAUUUCGGGUAUAGGGGCGAAAGACUAAUCGAACCAUCUAGUAGCUGGUUCCUGCCGAAGUUUCCCUCAGGAUAGCAGAAACUCAUGUCACGAUUUAUGUGGUAAAGCGAAUGAUUAGAGGCCUUGGGGUUGCAACAACCUUAACCUAUUCUCAAACUUUAAAUAUGUAAGAACGAGCCGUCUCUUGAUUGGAC
Molecule: ribosomal RNA, 1102 nt
Filed under: Tephrocybe rancida
Lineage: Eukaryota; Fungi; Basidiomycota; Agaricomycetes; Agaricales; Lyophyllaceae
Description: LSU rRNA
Rfam family: Eukaryotic large subunit ribosomal RNA
Source: RNAcentral